Molecule: transfer RNA, 72 nt
Filed under: Dryococelus australis
Lineage: Eukaryota; Metazoa; Arthropoda; Insecta; Phasmatodea; Phasmatidae
Description: tRNA-OTHER
Rfam family: tRNA
About the family: Transfer RNA (tRNA) molecules are approximately 80 nucleotides in length.
Source: RNAcentral
UCCUCGGUAGUAUAGUGGUCAGUAUCCCCGCCUGUUAUGUGGGAGACCGGGGUUCGAUUCCCCUUUGGAGGU